Molecule: ribosomal RNA, 324 nt
Filed under: uncultured bacterium
Lineage: Bacteria
Description: bacterial SSU rRNA
Rfam family: Bacterial small subunit ribosomal RNA
Source: RNAcentral
AUGUUGGGUUAAGUCCCGCAACGAGCGCAACCCUUAUCUUUAGUUGCUACCAUUAAGUUGAGAACUCUAAAGAGACUGCCGGUGAUAAACCGGAGGAAGGCGGGGACGACGUCAAGUCAUCAUGGCCCUUAUGGGAUGGGCUACACACGUGCUACAAUGGAGGGUACAAAGAGCUGCCAACUGGCGACAGUGCGCAAAUCUCAUAAAACCCUUCGUAGUCCGGAUCGGAGUCUGCAACUCGACUCCGUGAAGUCGGAAUCGCUAGUAAUCGUGAAUCAGAAUGUCACGGUGAAUACGUUCCCGGGCCUUGUACACACCGCCCGU